UAAUAAGUGUUUUAUGGCACUUUUUAAAUCCAUAUCCACCUUGUGUGCAAUGUCAGUCGAUCUUCUUCAUGGAGAUCGACCAAACAUCAACCUUUAUUUUAACUCUUUGUCUGAAAAAUAUUAUGAAUAAACAAUUCCAAAUA
This 143-nucleotide unclassified non-coding RNA is filed under the name soil metagenome. RNAcentral's name for it is "partial internal transcribed spacer 1". The record is from RNAcentral.